UCAUCACAUCCUGGGGCUGUAGUAGGUCCCAAGGGUUGGGCUGUUCGCCCAUUAAAGUGGUACGCGAGCUGGGUUCAGAACGUCGUGAGACAGUUCGGUCCCUAUCCGUCGCAGGCGUAGGAAAUUUGAGAAGACCUGUCCUUAGUACGAGAGGACCGGGAUGGACGUACCUCUGGUGUACCAGUUGUUCUGCCAAGGGCAUGGCUGGGUAGCUAUGUACGGAAUGGAUAAGCGCUGAAAGCAUCUAAGCGCGAAGCCAACUUCAAGAUAAGAUUUCCCACCGCAAGGGUAAGACCCCAGAAAGACUAUCUGGUUGAUAGGUCGAAGGUGUAAGUGCAGCAAUGUAUUUAGCUUAUCGAUACUAAUAGGUCGAGGACUUGACCAAAUU
This 388-nucleotide ribosomal RNA is filed under the name Clostridioides difficile. Its description in RNAcentral is "partial 23S ribosomal RNA". It matches the Rfam family "Bacterial large subunit ribosomal RNA", at positions 2537 to 2925 of the family's 2925-position model. The record is from RNAcentral. Lineage: Bacteria; Bacillati; Bacillota; Clostridia; Peptostreptococcales; Peptostreptococcaceae.